Molecule: ribosomal RNA, 663 nt
Filed under: Staphylococcus aureus
Lineage: Bacteria; Bacillati; Bacillota; Bacilli; Caryophanales; Staphylococcaceae
Description: partial 23S ribosomal RNA
Rfam family: Bacterial large subunit ribosomal RNA
Source: RNAcentral
ACAAGUAGUCAGAGCCCGUUAAUGGGUGAUGGCGUGCCUUUUGUAGAAUGAACCGGCGAGUUACGAUUUGAUGCAAGGUUAAGCAGUAAAUGUGGAGCCGUAGCGAAAGCGAGUCUGAAUAGGGCGUUUAGUAUUUGGUCGUAGACCCGAAACCAGGUGAUCUACCCUUGGUCAGGUUGAAGUUCAGGUAACACUGAAUGGAGGACCGAACCGACUUACGUUGAAAAGUGAGCGGAUGAACUGAGGGUAGCGGAGAAAUUCCAAUCGAACCUGGAGAUAGCUGGUUCUCUCCGAAAUAGCUUUAGGGCUAGCCUCAAGUGAUGAUUAUUGGAGGUAGAGCACUGUUUGGACGAGGGGCCCCUCUCGGGUUACCGAAUUCAGACAAACUCCGAAUGCCAAUUAAUUUAACUUGGGAGUCAGAACAUGGGUGAUAAGGUCCGUGUUCGAAAGGGAAACAGCCCAGACCACCAGCUAAGGUCCCAAAAUAUAUGUUAAGUGGAAAAGGAUGUGGCGUUGCCCAGACAACUAGGAUGUUGGCUUAGAAGCAGCCAUCAUUUAAAGAGUGCGUAAUAGCUCACUAGUCGAGUGACACUGCGCCGAAAAUGUACCGGGGCUAAACAUAUUACCGAAGCUGUGGAUUGUCCUUUGGACAAUGGUAGGAGA